Molecule: transfer RNA, 74 nt
Filed under: marine sediment metagenome
Description: tRNA-Thr
Rfam family: tRNA
About the family: Transfer RNA (tRNA) molecules are approximately 80 nucleotides in length. Their secondary structure includes four short double-helical elements and three loops (D, anti-codon, and T loops).
Source: RNAcentral
GCUACCUUAGCUCAGACGGCAAGAGUGCUGACCUGGUACGUCAGAUGUCAUCGGUUCGAUUCCGAUAGGUAGCU